UUAUAUAGGUAAACUGGCGUCACAGGAGUUCGUUGUACAGAUUAUUUUGUCACCUGGGUACUAAGCCUAGCACUCAAUAGUUAUUUUUUUUCUGAUCCUCUCCCUCCUCCUACCCUCAACUGUCAAGUAGGCCCCAGUGUCUGUUGUUCUUCUCUUUGUGUCCAUGAGUUCUCAUCACUUAGCUCCCACUUACAGGUGAGAACAUGCAGCUUUUGGUUUUCUGUUCCUGCAUUAGUUUGCUAAGGAUAAUGGCCUCCAGCUCCAUCCAAGGGAACCUAUCUUUUAUAAUGGGCAGUAAGCAUACCUGCCCUUUGAUCUGGAGAGAGGGAGACAUUGUUUCUAUCUUGUAAGACUGAAAGCCAACUUGCCCUUUGCUCCAGAGAGAGACCCUAUCUCUGUCUUCUAAGGCUGUUUGCUAUCCAAACAUUCUUGCAAAGCUAAUCUGGAACAAAGAGAAGAGAGUACCUCUGUGAGAUGUGCACAAAUGUGAGAGAACCACAGGUAACUGUCUCCUAAUACUGCAGUACUGGUAGCAGUUUUCUUAAUUUUAGGCUUCCUAGAGGAAGUUGUAUCUAAUGGGAGUCAUUUUUGAAAAAGGGUUAGCUAACAGAUAUUUGGGGAUAGGAGAUACAGGAAGCGAGUAUUUUAGACAGAGGAAACAGCAUGGAAAAGAAAAGCCCAGGAGGCUUUGGAGGCUGGGGAGGAGGAGGAGGCUUCAGCUGAGGUCAAAGAAGCAGGUUUAUUUUGAAGGGUCUUGUAAGCCUCGAGCUGCUGUUGGUACUUGAUCCUGAGUCCUUGAAAUGGUUUAAGCUGGGGAGUGGCAUGAUCAAAUGUGUGCUUUAAAAAGGCCACUUGGGCUGCAGCUGCAAGUGGACUGGAUUCAGCCCAAGGUUAAUUUUUUCUGCUUGGUUUCCUGUAAUCAGGUUCAGGGAGAUGGGGAUGCAUGUAUUGAAAUUCUGCCACAUGGUAGAUGGGGCUGUCUUUGAAGAUGAACAUAUUUGAGGUCAAUCUCACUGCCCCUCCUCCAAUCUCACCCUCCAGCGUUUUGAUCCAAGUGCCCACAGUUCUGAUGAAUGUCAAAGGCAAGCUUGAGGAGGGAAGAGGAAAUGAUUAGUCCUUUACACUCCAGGUCAAUUUACUAAGGAUGAAUUCUCCAAAUGAUCAGCCGGAUUUUCAAAUGGUGUCAGAAGCGGUAUCCGAAGUGGAGCUUCUAGCGACCACUAGGAGGGCUGAGUGAACACGCAAGCUACCUGCAGGACCCACUUGUCUCAGAUUUUGGAGCUCCGUGGAUUUGUGUUUUGAGCUCUCCGAGUUUCUUUGAACAAAUUUCUGAUCCAAACUGGGUUUGGAGUCGCAACAGAAACUGGACUGGGUCCAGGAAUGGAUUUGAUCCAGAAAUUAACUGGCUUGGAUCAAGUUAGAGGCCUCUUACGUCUGACUGGGUGAGAAAGGAACAGGUGGAUUUUGAACAUUCACAGGGAUUUUUGCAUUAUAUCCCUUUGUUUCAUUUUUCUUGCACGCUUAGGUAGGGGAAAAAAAUCAUUGGCUAAGUUAAUCAAGAGAACCUGAGCAUAAAGCCAAUAUUUGAGGUAAAAAUGGGAUCCUUAAUUUCUGGAAAACCGAGUUCCUUCUGGCUUAUACUUUAGGCCUGGGAGGCAGUGAAGUCUUACAGAAACAGCAAAAUCUUACUAAAGAUACCUUACAGUGGAACAUUCCCAAAGAACAACAAUGCAUUGAAGUACAUUUAAAAAAUGAGGGCUCUUGGUAAAGUCCCUUUUAGCUGAGAAAGGGUUUGGCACUCCAGCAUGUCAAUUGCUGUUCUCUUUGGCAUAAUCUGCCUUGCACUCUUUGCUGAUGGCUGUGGGUGACAGGAUUAGGCAUGUACAGGAUCGUGGGACAUGGGAAGCUUUUUCUUCCCUAAAAGGGGAAACUUUAGAGAUGAUGGGACCGUUGGAAAAGAUCCAUUUGGUACCAAGAAGCAGCGGCCUGAACUUUUCAGUGUCGCUGCAAUAGGUGGGUCUUUCUGUGGCCUCCCUGAUCAUUUCACCUUCCCCACCUUGCCACAGGCAAUGCUUUUCUCUCUCUCCUUUCCCUUUCUUAUGUUUUCUAUUACUCAGGGAGACCACCUUGCCCAGAGACCACAGGUUGAAACUCCUGGUCGGAGGUUGGAUUAACAAUGAUGGGGCCCAACCAGGGGCAAAUUUGAGCCUUGCUGGUUUGACAUUGGGUGCCAACCACAGUGGCUAAUGUCUAUGUUUUUGUCACACAUAUUUUACUCUGGCCAGGACAAAAAAAAGAUAAUUUUCCUUUAUGAUGUGGCUUUGCCCCAGUGCGAUGGUGUGGCAAGCUGAGUCACUAGGGGCGCUCAUGGAAAGCGUACCCAGAAGCCUGGCAUCCCGGCAAAAAGUUAAGAAUUUCUUACCAGUUAGAUUUCAGGCUUCUCUCUCUCUCUGUGCAAAUGGUUGAAUGAACGGUAAAAAUUGCUGUUUAUCUCCAUUUUGUUUUACGUCCUUGGGAGCUUGACCUUGUAACCAUGUGGCGGUACUUUCUCUUGGUUUCCGCCUUCCAGGGAACAGGAAUUUUAGGGCUUAUGUCAUAGUUAGCUCUAAAAAUUAUCUCGAGUAGCUAAAAGCCUUUGCAAGCUCAAAAUUAACUACUCUAGAUUCCUCCUGGGAGAGGUCAUAAAAGAUUGCCCCAUGUUGGAGCUCAGUAGCUAAGGCUUUGCUCUUUCAUACUGGUGGUCUGGGUUCAAUUCCCUGCCUAUGAAGUAAGUUGCGUUUAGUUUAAUAUUUGUAUGACCUUGUCUAGUCUCUUCUCCAUGUACUAUCUAAUUUUCCUUUCUCUGAGCACCUGGGAGGUUACCUUUGGUAGAGUUCAAAAGCCAGAAAUACCAGCCGUUUGGCCUGGCUAAAAUUGGGUAAUAAAAAAUUUUAAAAGGACUUUAUUAAAGAGUGCUAUGGUUAAAAGUCAGCUUAAUUAAAAGUGGAUAUUGAAGCUCUAACUGCCUGGACUUCUUGGGAAAAACAGAAGGCACCAGAAAUCCCUUUCUGGCCCUCUUCUUCCAAGGGCUCCACCCAAAAGCCAAUAACCAGUUAAGAAACAUAAAAACUGGCAAAAUAAAAAAUCUUACAACUACUGUGGUAAUCUUCUUCUGUCUGUCUGUAUAAUUAUAUAUGUGUUGUGUGUAAUGUUUAUAUAAAAGAGCUCUGAUUAAUUGGCUUAAACAAAAAUAAGCUCAAAUUAAAUAUUUAGAAAGCAAAAUAAAAACAGCUUUAAAGAUUACUGAUAAAAUAAAGACAUUUUUGUCUAAAUUAUGCAGGUCAGAUAUUAGAUUUGCUAAAUGCUUUAAGGUCAUAAACUGCUUUGACUUUUGAAAAUUGUUCAAUUUAUUCUGGAGACAUUACAUUCUAAAUAAGGCCUGGGGAUAUAUGGAAUUAGCCAUGCCCCUUAGCUAUGCAAAGAAGGCUAUAAAGAAAAUAGAUUUUAUAUAAGAAAGGAUGUUGUAUGGUAAAUUCUUGUCCUAAAGUAAAAUAUAUUUCACCAGGUAAAGAGAGUUUUUAUGGUUCACUGAGGAUAAUCCCUUCACAAUCUGGAGCCCAAAGAUUGGAUCUUCUGAGAACAUGAGAAAAAGUUUGUCCUUGCCAUCCACACUACAGCAAAACUUUGGAGCCUUGAACCUUGGGUUCGUAAUCGCACAACUGACAAGGGCCCCUCCACACUCCUGGAACUGUACACCCAUUGGAACCCUUAAGGUAAAAGUAACCAGGAAAGUUUCUCCCCAGAAGAAGAUGGCAUCUUUUAUGUGAACAGCUUUUUCCAAGAUCACUGAUCAAGACUUCUACUAUCACAGACUCUUAUCUUUGAAUAUUUUUCCUUGUUAUGCCUCUAUGAACAAUAGAAAUGAAAAAGGGGUCUAUUAUGUGCACUUAUAGGGUAUACUUUAUUUGUGAAGGAUUUUGCAGCCAUGAAUAACCAUAUGCUUUAAUAGGUAAAAGAUGAAGGCCCAGUGUAGGUGAGAAACUUUGAUGGUACAUAUAUUGCCUCAUAAUCAGUCAAAACUCCUCAUGAAUUAAAGAGAACAUUGCCAGGAGGCCUUCAGUCCUGUAGAAGGAUAUCAUUUGUUAGGUCCUUUUUCCAUGGUUUAGAAUAAAAUAGGCAAUAAUUAGAAAUGUCACCCUCACAAUAGGCUCUACAGCAAAUUCUACUUUAAAGGCUAUCCUUACACAACAGACUUUAAAUUCUCUUGUGAAAGUUAUGCUAAAUAAUAGAAUUGGCUAAGCAGAAAAGUACCUGUGCAGCUACUGACACUUCUGGCCUAUGGAGAAAUACAUCAAAUGUAGAUUACAAAAAUUCAGUUGUAGGGGAUUAAUGAAAAGACCACUUGGUCAAGCGAGUAGACUCUUCAUCUAGCUCAUUCUUUAAUCUAUUUUAUUUGAUGUGGUUUGGUUUAUGGGGACCCUGGGUAAGGAGCAUACUCCAAACCGUUGGUAUUAUCCUCCCAAUAGUCAUAAUCAUAGUCUUUCUGGUGCUCUGUAUUCUUUCAAAGAUUUUCACUGUUCACAUGCAACCAUCUCUACAAUGUCAAAUGGUCUCUUUUCAACUGGAAUGACAAAAGCUGAAAGAAAUGUGUGACCAUGAGGACACUGUAACCUAUAAAUGAUGUACUGAGACCGGAAACCCAAAAUAUGGUAAAUGAGAGUGGCACUAAAGCCCUAAGUUUGGGUCACACUCUCACCUAGUGAGAACCUGGCCAAAAAGGGGGAAUUUUUAAAAAACAAAAUUAUGGGAAGCCGUUAUUUUGGACUUGAGCUCAUGCACUAGGCUCCAAAAAACCAAACCAGGAUAAAAUGGAGUCACUUGUGCUAAAUGUGACAUAAUCAAAUUAAGGCUUUGAGAAAGCACAUAGAUCCUAGAACAGACCAGGUUUUGUUUUUCUCCUGUAAACAGGAUGUUCCAGCAUACGGAAGCACCCUCUAUUCAGUCCUUAUUCCUUCCUUGCAAAACCCACUGUUCUAAUGUUUCCCAGUGGGUUUCAAAACCAUAUAAGUACAUUUAUGAUAGCGAUAGUAGCAUCAAUAACUAAGAUUUUGGUCAAUCUCUUAAAAUUGAGAAAAUGACCAAAAGAGGGAACUUGUUAAGGCAAACUAAAUAUGGCCUAAGAAGGACUCUGCUUCUGUAUUUGAGUCCUUGUGGAUGAACUGUGACCUAGCUUAAUAGUAAGUCAAAAUUGAAAACCUAACUUAAUAGUAUGCACCUGUAACAAUGACUAAGUGUUGGCCAAUCCCUGCGGUCAUACUUCAACCACUCGUAGACUGCUGAACAUUCAAACUGCAUUCAAAUAAGGCAAACACCAAGCUGUAACCAAUCACACUGUUUCUGUACUUCACUUCCAAUUCCUGUACAUCACUUUCCCCUUUCUGUCUAUAAAUUUGUUGUGACCACAAGGCAUCCCUGGAGUCUUGGUGAAUCUGCUGUGGUUCUGGGGGCUGCCCAAUUCAUGAAUUGUUCAUUGCUCAAUUAAACUCUUUUAAAUCUGGCUGAAGCUUUUCUUUU
Molecule: long non-coding RNA, 5553 nt
Filed under: Homo sapiens (human)
Lineage: Eukaryota; Metazoa; Chordata; Mammalia; Primates; Hominidae
Description: HSALNT0072365
Source: RNAcentral